Molecule: ribosomal RNA, 492 nt
Filed under: uncultured bacterium
Lineage: Bacteria
Description: partial 16S ribosomal RNA
Rfam family: Bacterial small subunit ribosomal RNA
Source: RNAcentral
AGUGAACGCUGGCGGUAGGCCUAACACAUGCAAGUCGAACGGCAGCACAGUAAGAGCUUGCUCUUACGGGUGGCGAGUGGCGGACGGGUGAGGAAUACAUCGGAAUCUACUUUUUCGUGGGGGUUAACGUAGGGAAACUUACGCUAAUACCGCAUACGACCUACGGGUGAAAGCAGGGGAUCUUCGGACCUUGCGCGAUUGAAUGAGCCGAUGUCGGAUUAGCUAGUUGGCGGGGUAAAGGCCCACCAAGGCGACGAUCCGCAGCUGGUCUGAGAGGAUGAUCAGCCACACUAGAACUGAGACACGGUCCAGACUCCUACGGGAGGCAGCAGUGGGGAAUAUUGGACAAUGGGCGCAAGCCUGAUCCAGCCAUACCGCGUGGGUGAAGAAGACCUUCGGGUUGUAAUGCCCUUUUGUUGGGAAAGAAAAGCAGCAGGUUAAUACCCCGCUGUUCUGACGGUACCCAAAAAAUAAGCACCGGCUAACUUCGUG